UUACGGACAUUGCAAGUUGAAACACUGGUUCCCGUACGAUCACCGAAGAAGCAACGUCGAGCCUGGUUAGUAACAAGAUGAGUGACCUCUUGGAAAUUACAGGUGUUGUAAG
This is a non-coding RNA of Acanthosepion pharaonis, 112 nucleotides long. The record is from the annotation of a GenBank genome assembly. NCBI's taxonomy places the organism in Eukaryota, Metazoa, Mollusca, Cephalopoda, Sepiida, Sepiidae.